AACGAACGCUGGCGGCGUGCCUAACACAUGCAAGUCGAGCGGGAAAGUUCCCUUCGGGGAGCAAGUACAGCGGCGAACGGGUGAGUAACACGUAGGUAACCUACCCUGGAGAUCGGGAUAACCUGCCGAAAGGCGGGCUAAUACCGGAUAAGACCACGAGGGCUGCGGCCCUUGAGGAAAAAGAUGGCCUCUGCUUGCAAGCUAUCACUCUGGGAUGGGCCUGCGCGCCAUUAGCAGUUGGUGAGGUAACGGCUCACCAAGGCUGAGAUGGCUAGCUGGUCUGAGAGGACGGCCAGCCACACUGGGACUGAGACACGGCCCAGACUCCUACGGGAGGCAGCAGUGGGGAAUAUUGCGCAAUGGGCGAAAGCCUGACGCAGCGACGCCGCGUGGGUGAUGAAGGCCU
RNAcentral lists this ribosomal RNA (406 nucleotides) under uncultured bacterium. RNAcentral describes it as "bacterial SSU rRNA". It matches the Rfam family "Bacterial small subunit ribosomal RNA", at positions 29 to 417 of the family's 1533-position model. The record is from RNAcentral.